UGGUCACCACAGGUGCACAGAUUGCUGCACUCAUACAGCAAAUGAAGAUUUUGACUAAGACGGUCCAAAACCUCCAACAGCAGUAACAACCGCCAGUGGAACAGUCGGUGGCUCAGUCAGUGCCAUCCAAGCACAGCCGCCGUCCUCCACAGUGCUCACCCUCUUCAUCUCUGGAGCGACAACCGCCUCGACACUCCCAUU
Molecule: long non-coding RNA, 201 nt
Filed under: Elaeis guineensis (African oil palm)
Lineage: Eukaryota; Viridiplantae; Streptophyta; Magnoliopsida; Arecales; Arecaceae
Description: long non-coding RNA (EGUI_LNC023469)
Source: RNAcentral